GAUCAUGGCUCAGAUUGAACGCUGGCGGCAUGCCUUACACAUGCAAGUCGAACGGCAGCACGGGAGCUUGCUCCUGGUGGCGAGUGGCGAACGGGUGAGUAAUGCAUCGGAACGUGCCCUGAAGUGGGGAUAACGUAGCGAAAGUUACGCUAAUACCGCAUAUUCUGUGAGCAGGAAAGCAGGGGAUCUUCGGACCUUGCGCUUUUGGAGCGGCCGAUGUCGGAUUAGCUAGUUGGUGGGGUAAAGGCCCACCAAGGCGACGAUCCGUAGCGGGUCUGAGAGGAUGAUCCGCCACACUGGAAACUGAGACACGGUCCAGACUCCUACGGGAGGCAGCAGUGGGGAAUUUUGGACAAUGGGCGCAAGCCUGAUCCAGCCAUGCCGCGUGAGUGAAGAAGGCCUUCGGGUUGUAAAGCUCUUUCGGUGGGGAAGAAAUUGCUUGGGUUAAUACCCUGAGUAGAUGACGGUACCCGCAUAAGAAGCACCGGCUAACUACGUG
RNAcentral lists this ribosomal RNA (499 nucleotides) under uncultured bacterium. Its description in RNAcentral is "bacterial SSU rRNA". It matches the Rfam family "Bacterial small subunit ribosomal RNA", at positions 15 to 507 of the family's 1533-position model. The record is from RNAcentral.